Neopelma chrysocephalum (saffron-crested tyrant-manakin) is the source of this 2763-nucleotide long non-coding RNA. RefSeq lists it as uncharacterized. The transcript is spliced from 8 exons. Lineage: Eukaryota; Metazoa; Chordata; Aves; Passeriformes; Pipridae. The record is from RefSeq and is a predicted model, not a curated record.
AACGGGUGUGCGUGCGCUGGGCGCGGGAGCCGCCGGUAACAGGAGCCGCCGGAGCCCGGCGAGGAGCUGACUCUGUCUUUUCGGCUCUGCCCCGUGUAUAUUUAUCUGGGUCUCAGCACACCUUAAAGAGGUCACCUGAGCUCCUGCCUGAGUCUCGAAGAGUGAGGACUGAGAUCUGAGGGUGAAGCACCUCAUGAACCUGCUGCAGAGCUGAGAGCAAAUAAGUGUGUAAGUCUGCAAUACCAUGGAUGGCUGUCCCAGUGCUCCCAGCCUUCAGCACACCUCCCAUCCCAGUGCUCCCAUCUUGCCUCUCCAGGAAGCUGAUGGAUACUGCAGGAUUUCUAAAAACGAGCAGCUGCCAAGACACCAUCAGUCCCUGCUGGAAUUGUGGUUACCUCCUUGCCCAGGUGAUGCAGAAGCUUCGGAUGUUUCCCAUGCAGGGCCAUCAGAAGGGAUCUCAGGACAUCAGCCAGGGAAGACCAUCAAUGCCAGGGGCAAAUGAGGCUGAGAACCGAGACUGUUGAGUGUCCAGCUAAUCAUCAGGAGGGGAGAGCUGGCAGGGUACAACAGCUCUUCAGCAGGGGCUCCUGCUUCCACGGCUCCAGGUGGAGUGGGCAGGGCUGCAGCUGAGGGCAGGUUACAUCCCCGGACACUGGGCACAUCAGCACGUUCUACUGGUUCAAAUGCAGAGGAGCUCAGUUGAGAAAAUGUGAAAUGAAGCCUGUUACUGGUCUAAACUCAGCUCUGAAAAUGAAAGUAACCACUUCUACAAGUUUAAAACCGGUGCCAUGUAGCAGCUCGACUCUUACCCAGAAGGACACUGGGUGUAUUCCUGGUGGGCUCUCAAAGGCUGGGACAUCUGGAAGGAGCAGCGCAGCAACAUCGAGAUGCUUCUGCUGCCACCCAAACCCCACUGGGGGAUCUCCCGGGCUGUGGAGGAUGAUAGCUAGCCGGAGAAAUCCAUUCUGGGGCUCUUUGGGAUCGAUAAGCAGUUAAGGGAGCGGCGGGAAGAUGACAUUGCCUGUCUUUGUGCGCACACACCGCGGAGGGGCCGGGCUGGUAAAGGGCAGCGCUUGGGCUCCGAGCCAUUGGCUUUAGAAUGUGGUGGUUCCUGCUGGAAUUUUGGACAUGUGGUGAGGGAAGAGCCAGUGGGACUGCAAUAGGAGCUGGACCAAGCUGCUGCCCCUCCAGCCCCAAACCCAACUGAGAUUCAGAACAGACCAGGAAAAACCAAAUUGUGAAGCAAACACUGUUGUGAUUCUGCUUAGUGACAUGGGGGGUUCCACCUGGCAUUGCUCCCCUUAGGCACACACACCUUCCUCACUCCAGUAAUGCAGGAUGCUGGAGUCUGUGGGUGAGACCAAACCCCCACCAGCCUCAGGAAGAGUUAGAAAACCCUUCUAUCCUCUGAACUAAGUCUUUUUGGAAAGAGGAAAUUUCUUGCUGAUGGUUCUGGAGCAGAUGCACCCAGUGGCACGGUUUGCCAGCAAACACUUGGGAAGCUCUAGGGUCAAGUCAUGGUGUAAAAGGUGAUAUAUUACAUUUCCUUUAGUGAACAUGUGAAAAAAUGGCCCAGCUCACAAUCAGUUUGGCAGGACAGAGGGAUGUGAGGCUCACCAGAGCCGUUAUUUCCAGUGGCUGAUCUGCUCGGCCUUGUUUGAUCCAUCGUCCUUGAGCCAAUCUGCUGAAGUGGCACUGAGUGCACCCCAAUGCAAAGCACAGGCUCACAAACCUGGGGCUGGAUGAGGCACCUGGUGCACCAAGGCACCACCACCUUCUGCCUCAAGGUUUUCCAGCAGAAAAAACAAAUCCCUGAGCUUGGAAGCAUUGCAUGGACACGUGAGCUGGGGGAGGGAUGGCAGCUUUCUCCCUGCCCUUGGCCACACCAUCAGAGUGCUGUGGGCACUGAAAAGCCUGGGCAGGGGUCUUGCUGAGCUCUGCAGCUGUGCAGGAAUUGCUCUCCAAAUUCGAGAUGUUCUCUGUAUUUAUUUUUCCGUCUGGGUCCGUUUGCUGACAGCCAACAACCCGUGGCUUCGGGCAGCCAGUGCCUGCACUACAUAUUUUUGUUCAUCCGUCCCUCCCUGCCAAGAGCUGGAGUCAGACAACUGGCUCCGGCUGGUGCCAGCUCUGGUUGCUCACACAGGGAUUAGCACGUAAACUGCUUUGGUCCCCCUGCAGAGGCCGAGCGUGGCCUUCUCUCUUACCCUCCCGCUGCAGUUGCCUCUGUGAAAGAUGUCUCUGACUUUGCUCCUGACUUUCUGCAAGAGGUUGUUGUAAGAAAAGGAUUUUUCCUGGUUUUUUUUGGGUGUCUCUGCACUGUGGGUGAACGUGGGAGAGCACGAGUGCCUCGUGGUCCGCCGUGUCUCGGGUUGGUCCCGUGCUCGACCCUUGGGCUGGACACCAAGAGGGAUUAAGGGGAAGUGUUGGACCUGGGGAUCUCCAGGAAACCAAGAAGUAAUCUCCUAGUGCUGGGAGACUAAAACAAACCCUCCCUGAGAUGGUGAGCACGACUGGAUUUCUCACUUACAAGCGAGGCUGUUGAGGUUUCUCUGUGCUCACAGCCUUUGCCCAGGACUCCACAAACAGAAAUAAAAUCAGCUGAAAAAAUACAAGAGGCCCUGAGAUGGGAACUGGGCAAAUGAUGAAGGAAGACAGUAAAACCAAUGUAGAGAUCCUGGGCCACCUCAUCAAAUAGCAGGAGCUGGCGUGGGGGUAUUGAUUUCAGCAGAGCUGUGCCAGUUUAUGCAAGUUAGGGCUCUGACC